GUCACACAUGGAGCCACUGGGGAGACACUCAGGCCUCGGGGUUUCAUCUUUCUCCUCGGCCCUUUGGUCUCCUUCUUGUCCUGACAUUGGGCCUUGAUUAACCUGGUGAACCCCCAAGGGAAAUGAGCAACCUCUCUCCUUUGUGUCCACCAGGGGCAAGUGGGCCACUUGUCCAGGACACACCCAUCUGUCAAAAGGGGCUGCAGAUUGAGGAGAAGCCAUCAGAGUCUGGAGGAAGGACCCUGAGCCUAAAAGGAACCAGGGGAAAGACCCAGGCUAGGGCUCUUUCUGAGGAAGCCAGCAUCCCUUCAAAAAUGGAGCCGAAAGAAUGGCCGGUCCCCAGCCCAAUGGUGUCCAUGAACCGAAAGGCCAGAUGACAGAAUUAAAAAAGAAAAACCAAGUGGUCUGAAUCAGGGAAGCAGACAGCGAAGGAUGUGGGUGGAGAAGGAAGGAAAGGGGUGAUGGCAGAGGUUCCUUUUGAGUUUGGGGUAAAGAAUUCAGGUUGGAUCUUGUUUUAUCCAAACCGGUUUGUUUAUCUCUAAAAAAUUAUCGGCAGCAAUGGCCCAAAGGGAUGCAUUGAGGGGACCCGCUUCCAAAGAGUAGGGAGCCCAACAAGUGUUCUAAUGUCUGGCGGAGUCGGCAGCUUGUAUCGCCCAGGGUUUGCUGGCUGCCUGCCCGGGUUGGGGGGAACAGUGAGCCCGGGGUGCUGGUUCCUAGCUCCAACCCCAGGUCUUGUGGGGCUUCUGUAGUGUGUUCUGUCUCCCUUGGUAGGGUGUGUUUUGUGUGUGUUUAAGGAGACGAUUCAGACUGUCCAUACUGGCCAGGCUGCACAAACCCUGUGGAUGCCCUUGGUGGCAGAGUGAGAGCUUGGGUGUUAGGACUUGGCUGGUGGCUUGCAGGGAACUUGGUCCUGGGGCAGAGGAGGUGGGCACAGACUCCCAGCCUCUUUCCGUGGCUCCUCUAGGCCUAGGGAGCC
Molecule: long non-coding RNA, 976 nt
Filed under: Marmota monax (woodchuck)
Lineage: Eukaryota; Metazoa; Chordata; Mammalia; Rodentia; Sciuridae
Source: RNAcentral